Molecule: ribosomal RNA, 529 nt
Filed under: uncultured bacterium
Lineage: Bacteria
Description: bacterial SSU rRNA
Rfam family: Bacterial small subunit ribosomal RNA
Source: RNAcentral
CUUGACAUCCAGCGAACUUGGCAGAGAUGCCUUGGUGCCUUCGGGAACGCUGAGACAGGUGCUGCAUGGCUGUCGUCAGCUCGUGUUGUGAAAUGUUGGGUUAACGUCCGCAACGAGCGCAACCCUUAUCCUUUGUUGCCAGCGAUUCGGUCGGGAACUCAAAGGAGACUGCCGGUGAUAAACCGGAGGAAGGUGGGGAUGACGUCAAGUCAUCAUGGCCCUUACGAGUAGGGCUACACACGUGCUACAAUGGCGCAUACAAAGAGAAGCGACCUCGCGAGAGCAAGCGGACCUCAUAAAGUGCGUCGUAGUCCGGAUCGGAGUCUGCAACUCGACUCCGUGAAGUCGGAAUCGCUAGUAAUCGUGGAUCAGAAUGCCACGGUGAAUACGUUCCCGGGCCUUGUACACACCGCCCGUCACACCAUGGGAGUGGGUUGCAAAAGAAGUAGGUAGCUUAACCUUCGGGAGGGCGCUUACCACUUUGUGAUUCAUGACUGGGGUGAAGUCGUAACAAGGUAAGCGUAGACGU